RNAcentral lists this long non-coding RNA (8194 nucleotides) under Lactuca sativa (garden lettuce). RNAcentral's name for it is "long non-coding RNA (LSAT_LNC005334)". The record is from RNAcentral. Lineage: Eukaryota; Viridiplantae; Streptophyta; Magnoliopsida; Asterales; Asteraceae.
UUUUGAAGUUUGCAAGAGGGACUCGGCGAGUUCAUAGCCUGACUCGCCGAGUAGGGACGGGAUUUCGAGCACGUGUUAGCUGGCGACUCGGCGAGUCCAUAUUCUGGACUCGGCGAGUCUGUCUGUCUGGGAGAAACCCUAAAUCCCCGGGUUGCCCACUAUUUAAGCCACCUUAUAGCCUCCAUUCUCGCCUCCUUCACCCUUAGAGAGCUGUGAGAAAACCCUAAUUCGUUCUUGAGUGAUUUUAAGUGAUCUUGUGUUCAUUUGUGAAGGCUUGAAGAAGGAGAAGAAGAAAGGAGCAAGGAGAAGAGUUGUAGAGCAAAGAUUCAAGGGAAAACCAGAGUUCUUUGAGGUAUUCUUCGGAUUUCCUUCCCUUUUAUGCUUUAAAAACCCCUCUAGAUCUAGUUGAUGCUAUUCUCAAGCCUUAUGUUGAUAUGGAAGCCCUAUUAUGUCGAGAUAUCCUUAGAUCUGUUCAUUUAGGAGUUGUAGAGCCCAGAUCUAUUGCCUUUAUGGAGCUAUUUUGCAUCAUAACCCUAGAUCUACCCCUUUUAAGUGCCUUUUUAGCCUUUAUUCCCUUUUUCAUGUGUUUGUACAUGUAAAGUUGGAAACUUUACGUGGUAAAUCAGCUUAUUGGACUCAGAUCUAUCAUUUGUAUGUAAUGGAUUCAAGCAGAAUCGAGUGUAGAAUAGUUGCAUGGCUGUGACUCGGCGAGUCGGAAGAACGACUCGGCGAGUCGAGUCGCGAGUCCCCGAUUUCUUCCUUUUGAGCGGUGUCGAGUGGGACCAGUGAGUAGUGGAGUGGACUCAGCGAGUUUGAGGGUAGACUCAGUAAUGGAGGGACUCGGCGAGUUGUUCAUACAACUCGGCGAGUCCAAGGCAAUCUUCUUAAGCUCAAGAACAACUCGUCGAGUUGUUCAUAUGACUCGGCGAGUCGGAUGAAGAUUGUCUGAGUUCUUGGAUCGAGAGGGUACUCGUCGAGUCGAUGUCAUACUCGACGAGUAGCAGCGAGUAGGGUCGAGGAGUGAGAAUAGGGACUCGGCGAGUUGGCGGCCCAACUCGGCGAGUCAGGUCAACUGUGAGUUGACUUUGACCGAGAGUUGACUUUGACCAAGGGUAAAAGAGUCAUUUUACCCAGUGCAGUGUUUAGUAUUUGAUUGAGUGUGUUUAUGGACUUGUAGCCGGGGAGAUACCGGAGCAGCAGCAGUUAGCCCUCAGAGCCAUUCACUCAGCAGCCAGUUCACGAGGUGAGUUUCCUUUCAGUAGGAACGGGUCUAAGGCCACAAUGCCGGCCCGUUUAGCUAGCAGUAGUAUCCGGAUUUUGAUCCGAUGCAGUAGUUAGCAUGUUUGAUGCCUUCGUGGCUCAGACAGGAUUAUGUGUGUUCAUGUUAGUGAUAUGUUUAUGCUAUGAUCAGUCAGCUUCGGACUUCGGUCCGAUGUCAGCUUCGGACUUCGGUUCGAUGUAGGGGACAAGGUCCCAGUCAGCUUCGGACUUCGGUCCGAUGUCAGCUUCGGACUUCGGUUCGAUGUAGGGGACAAGGUCCCAGUCAGCUUCGGACUUCGGUCCGAUGUCAGCUUCGGACUUCGGUUCGAUGUAGGGGACAAGGUCCCAGUCAGCUUCGGACUUCGGUCCGAUGUCAGCUUCGGACUUCGGUCCGAUGUAGGGGACAAGGUCCCAGUCAGCCAGCUUCGGACUUCGGUCCGAUGGAGGGGGCAAGGCCCCAGUAUGUGCUUGAUAUGUUAUUGUAUGGUAUGUGGUAGUUUGGGGGAGCUCACUAAGCUUCGUGCUUACAGUUUCAGUUUUGGUUUCAGGUACUUCCGCAAGCAGAGGGAAGAGCUCGGGAUGAUGGCAUCGCACACACCACAGCUUCAGCUUUUAUCCUGGGAGUUGAUUUAGUUUUUGAUUUUGAUAUGACAUAGAUAUGAUACAGUUUUCCGCACAGUGUUUUUAUUAUGUUUGGGAUACAUCACGUAUGGUUUUAUGAUAUGACACUCAGAUUAUGGUUUUUGGUUAUAUUGAAAAAUGAAAUUUUUGGGUCGUAUUUUUGGGUCGUUUCAAGUUGGUAUCAGAGCCUUGGUUUGAGGGAUUCGGAUACACUUCCGGGUGUAUCUGAACUCAAACUAAGGGGAAAUAAAAAGAUUUUUAAAAAGAAAAUGUUUUCUAAAAGAAUUUUGAAAGCACUUAGAAAGAAAGAAAUUUUUAAACAAGAUAAGGGUGUGGUGCAUGCGAUCAGCCGAGCUCAAGUAAGUACUCCCAAAUUACCCAUACAAGUUAUUUGUUCAGUUUCAGUUUCAGUAGAACAGCAUGCUAGUAUAGGACUAAGGAUCUAGGAGGAUGCCUUAUGUGCCUGCUUUAUGUGUUACAGCUUUAUGAGUAUUGCAUGCUAGUAUUGAGUAGACAGCAGUAGGAUAGCCUGUUUAGGUUAUGCCUGAUAGUAUGAGCUUAGCAUUGUAUGCUAGUACAGUUUCUCGUUAUGAGAAUAGUUUUGCCUGAGUAUGUUUCCUUUAUCCGAAUGCUGCUUGCUUCGUGCUUUGUGGGGUUCUGAGUGAUGGGAGUUAGCCAUUAGGUGAACACGUCACACCACAUGUGAUCAGGGUUGAAUAAUCCCAGAGUGCUGGAACUGGCCCUAUUGCGCAGCUCUUGUUUGAGUCCAACCGUUAUAGGGACGGGUCUUUUACUUGAAGGAUUAUCUGAUCUUCGUCACAUGUGAUGGUGUUCAGGUGGUGGUUAAUUAGCAUUAUAAGGAGACCUGCAGCAGCUGAGGACUAGUUGAGUUGAGUCUGAGGUUUCCCUGGGGCAAGCCUAGGAUGAGAGUAGCAGAGAUCAGUAGUAGUAGAAGUGACUUGGUGGAGUCAGGGCAGUUCUUGAAGAAAGUACGGAUAGAUGUGGAAGGUAGUAUGGGCCCGUACUACUGGAAGCAGAGGAUCCGUACUCGAAUCAAGAAAGGCUGAGACAAGACCAGGAAGCUAGUUGUAGUAUCAAUGAUCCCUUGAGAUAUUUCUGUUUUCUGAUGUAGUUGUGAUGUGUUUCAGAAUGGUGGUUUUGCGUUCGAGACCAGCAGCCGGCAGCGGAGGUGCCGGGGAGGGAUCAGGUUCAGGCUCGGGGGAUGAGCGCAUGGAUGAGCAGACCCGAGAGUUUCUUUCUUCGGAGAUUACGCGCAUCAUUAUAGAGCAGACUCCUGUGAUCUUCGGUUCGAUCAAGGAGGGGAUUCUAGAGCUGAUGGAUGAGAGAUUGGGCACCUUCCGUGCCGAGGUGGCGGCCAUGAUGGGGUCGCGCACCCUUACUUUCAGGGAGUUCAGGGCAUGUGGAGCUCCGGACUAUCAUGGGGCGCGAGACCCCAUAGCGAGCACCAGAUGGUUGGCGGAUGUGGCCAACGCUUUCCGUACUAGCAGAUGUCCCGAGGGGGACAAGGUCAGAUUGGCGUCCUGUCUUCUGAAGGACAGGGCACGAGAUUGGUGGGAGGAGGUCGGGCAUGCCAUUGGGGAUGAUGCAGCAUUGGACGCCAUGACCUGGGCUGAUUUCUCUACCAGGUUCAGGGCGGAGUUUGCACCGGUCAUUGAGGUGCAACAGCUAGCUAGGGAGUUUCAGGACCUCACCCAGACUACAGAGACAGUGGCGGAGAUCACCGCCAAGUUCAGGGAGAGGGCUCUUCUCGUUCCUCAGUAUGUAGCUGAUGAGGAAAUGAAGAAGGCCCGUUAUCAUGAGAUGUUGCGGAGCGAUAUCCGCCAGUUUGUGAGCCGGUCCAGCUGUAAAACGCUGGAAGAUAUGAUUGCUAGGGCUCGGGAGAGGGAGAUUGAUCUCGAGAUGGAGAAGAAGAGGAAACCGGAGGCGGUUUCGGGUUCAGGCGGUUCGGGCAAAAAGCCCAAGGUUUCAGAUCACAGAUCUAGGAGUCAGCAGAGCCACGGUCGAUGUGGCAAGUGUGGGAGAUUGCACGAGGGAGCGUGCAAGGCAGGGAGUUCCGGCUGCUACAAGUGCGGUCGGAUUGGGCAUUUGAGUAGGGAUUGUACGGCCCCUGCUACUGCCGUCGCAGCAUCAGAUCUGAUUUGCUUUCAGUGCAAUCAGAGGGGACAUAAAAAGUCCCAGUGUCCGAGUUUAGCUUCAGCAGGGAAGGUGGCUGCACCUGCCCCUGCUACCUUGAGGAUUACAGAUGGCCGGCAGGGCCGAGCUGAUGCGCCAGUGGCGAAGAGUAGGGCGUUUCAGAUGACAGCAGAGGAGGCGCGAGCGACUCCUGAUGUGGUGACGGGUAUGUAUCUUCCCUUUAUCUCUUUAUUAUUAUUGAUUGAAUAUUGCUUAUGAUUGUAUGUUUUAUUCAGGGUCGUUCUCUGUGAACGGCAUUUCUGCUUUGGUAUUAUUCGAUUCGGGGGCUACCCGAUCAUUCGUAUCACUUGCGCUUAGCAAGAGAUUUAGUAGAGCUCCAGGGGAGCUGGAUUGUCCAUUAGAGGUUGAGAUAGCAGAUGAUAGGACCGUGAGGGUCGGCAGAGUGCACAGAGGGUGUUCUCUUCAGUUAUUUGAUGAGCAGUUUUCAGUGGAUCUGGUACCUAUUCCCCUGCGAGGGAAUAAGGUUAUUGUGGGUAUGGAUUGGCUAAGCCCCAAUGGGGCGGUGAUUGAUUGUGAGCUUCAGCUAGUGAGGGUUCGCACUCCCAGUGGGGGAGAGUUGGUGAUUCAGGGCGAGAGGCCACAGCGAGGACCGACCUUUUGUUCCGCCGCAAGGGCGAGGCGCUAUGUUCAGCAGGGUUGCGCCGGUUUUGUAGCUUACGUUUUGGAUGCCCGGGAGAAGGGCAAGUCGACAGUUGAUGAUGUUCCUAUUGUUCGAGACUACCCGGACGUGUUUCCCGAGGAUUUGCCGGGGAUACCUCCUGAGAGACAGGUUGAGUUCAGGAUCGACCUCAUUCCUGGUGCGGCUCCGAUAGCCAAGGCACCGUAUCGACUAGCUCCCCCUGAGAUGCAGGAGUUGUCUACACAGCUGCAGGAGCUGUUAGACAAGGGUUUCAUUCGGCCGAGCAGUUCGCCUUGGGGAGCGCCGAUCCUGUUUGUGAGGAAGAAGGAUGGGUCGCAUCGUAUGUGUAUAGAUUACCGGGAGUUGAAUAAGGUAACGGUGAAGAACCGUUACCCACUUCCGAGGAUAGAUGAUUUGUUUGAUCAGCUUCAGGGAGCGUCUUGGUUCUCCAAGAUCGAUCUACGCUCCGGUUAUCAUCAGAUGCGGGUUAGAGAUGAGGAUGUACAGAAGACUGCUUUCAGGACCAGGUAUGGUCAUUAUGAGUUUGUGGUGAUGCCAUUUGGGCUCACCAAUGCUCCAGCCGCGUUCAUGGAUCUCAUGAACCGCGUGUGUAGGCCGAUGCUGGAUCGGUCAGUGAUAGUGUUCAUAGAUGACAUCUUGGUAUAUUCCAAGACGCAGGAGCAGCACGAGGAGCACCUGCGGGAGGUGCUGGAGGUUUUGAGGAGGGAGAGACUUUUCGCAAAGUUCUCCAAAUGUGAGUUCUGGUUGCGCGAGGUGCAGUUCCUUGGUCACCUCGUCAACCAGAAGGGUAUUUUGGUAGAUCCGGCCAAGAUAGAGGCCGUGAUGCAGUGGGAGGUCCCGAAGUCUCCAUCUGAGAUUCGGAGCUUCCUAGGGUUGGCAGGGUAUUAUCGGAGAUUUAUUCAGGAUUUCUCCAAGAUAGCAGUGCCGCUCACCCGACUGACCAAGAAGUCAGUGGUAUUUCGUUGGGGUCCGGAGCAGCAGACAGCAUUCGAGACCCUCAGGCAGAGAUUGUGCGAGGCUCCGAUCCUUACCUUGCCAGAGGGAGUAGAGGACUUUGUAGUCUAUUGUGAUGCCUCGAUCACAGGUUUGGGAGCAGUUCUGAUGCAGCGAGGCCAUGUGAUAGCUUAUGCCUCGAGACAGUUGAAGCCUCACGAGGCUAAUUAUCCUACCCAUGAUUUGGAGCUGGGGGCAGUUGUGUUUGCCCUCAAGAUUUGGAGGCAUUACCUUUAUGGGGUCCGUUGUACUAUUUACACGGAUCACAAGAGUUUGAGGUAUCUUAUGGAUCAGCCGAGUCUGAACAUGAGGCAGAGGAGGUGGUUGGAUGUGCUAAAGGAUUACGACUGUGAGAUCCUAUACCAUCCAGGGAAGGCCAAUGUGGUGGCCGAUGCCCUGAGCCGCAAGGUGUCGGCGGCCCCUAUCAGGGAUCUAUGUUUGAGGAUGACAGUGAUCACUCCGUUGUUGGAGCGGAUCAAGGAGGCUCAGGUAGAGGGUCUCAAGGAGGAGAGACAGAAGUGUGAGAGGAUCGUGGGCCGAGUAGCCUCGUUUGAUUAUGAUAGUCGUGGUUUGCUGACGCUUCACGGGAGAGUGUGGGUACCGUACUGGGGUGGAGUACGGCAAGUGUUGAUGGAUGAGGCUCAUAAGUCUCGGUUUUCUAUCCACCCAGGGGCGACGAAGAUGUAUCGAGAUCUUCGACCUGAUUAUUGGUGGCCCUGCAUGAAGCGGGACGUCGCCUGGUACGUCGAGAGAUGCCUGACCUGCCGGAAGGUCAAGGCGGAGCACCAGAGACCUCACGGCAAGAUGCAGCCGUUAGACAUUCCCGUGUGGAAAUGGGAGGACAUCACCAUGGAUUUUGUCACCAAGCUUCCCAGGACCGCACGAGGAGUGGAUUCGAUAUGGGUAGUAGUGGAUCGGUUGACGAAGAGUGCCCAUUUUAUCCCGAUCCAGGAGAGUAUAUCGGCGGAGAAGUUAGCCGAUAUCUAUGUGCGAGAGAUUGUGGCACGUCAUGGAGUGCCGGUAUCGGUGGUGUCAGACCGAGAUGUCCGUUUCACAUCCAGAUUCUGGAAGCGGUUCCACGACGAGAUGGGUACUCGUCUCCAUUUCAGCACCGCUUUCCACCCUCAGACGGACGGGCAGAGCGAGAGGACGAUUCAGACUCUCGAGGACAUGCUUAGGGCAUGUGUUCUAGAUUUCGGUGGCAGUUGGGAUACGUAUCUUCUGUUAGCGGAAUUUUCGUAUAACAACAGUUAUCAUGCGAGCAUUGAUCGACCUCCCUUUGAGAUGCUUUAUGGGAGGAAGUGUAGGACCCCGAUUUGUUGGGGCGAGGUCGGUCAGCGAGUCAUCGGGAGCACAGAAGUGGUGCUCAAGACGACCGAGUUGAUCCAGCAGGUCCGUAGUAGACUGCAGACUGCGCAGAGUCGGCAGAAGAGCUACGCCGACAGGAGGCGUUCGGACUUGGAGUUCCAGGUGGGAGAUAUGGUCCUUCUGAAGGUCUCACCUUGGAAGGGUGUCAUCAGAUUCCGGAAGAGGGGCAAGUUGGGCCCCAGAUUUAUUGGUCCUUUCAGGGUUUUGGCCCGGGUGGGUCGGGUUGCUUAUCGAAGAGAUCUUCCUAAGGAGCUUAGUCAGAUCCACAACACUUUCCAUGUGUCUCAGUUGAGGAAGUGUUUGGUUGAUGAGUCAGCAGUCGUUCCCCUAGAGGAUAUUCAGGUUGAUAGCAGUCUAAAUUAUAUUGAGAGGCCGGUCGCGAUUCUGGACCGAAAGACCAAGACCUUGAGGAAUAUUGGGGAUUCAUCACUUGACCUAAUUCUUCAGUUUUUCCCCAUCUCCACUUACGCCAUUAUCGAUCAGACUUCAUUCUACUUGGAGCUCCUCUCACUCUUAUUUGUUCUAUUGUUCGCCGCCUGCUCUGUCAAUCAUCGGUAGGUGGUUCUCGAUUGAUGAUCCUCAUCGCCUUCGUGUUUAAUUUGCAUCAUCCUACUCUUCGCUGCUUUUUUUCUCAAUCUUCUUUGUCCCUACCAGGUAACCUUCUUUUUUGUUCUGUUUGCUUCUUAAAACACGUGUGAAUCGCCACUAAAUCAUCUGCUUGUGUCGCCUGAAAACAACAGCGAUUAUUUCCAACUAAUGAUGCAUUUUCCCUUUCUAUCAUCCAAUAAACUGAGGAUCUAUUAAUCUCUCCAUUGAAUACGAGGUGAUUCAAUGCUCUUUAACUCUACCAAUGUGUAGCGACCCGUCUCCGGUAUGAUGAUUCCAUAGCAUUUAUUUUGAAGUUUGCAAGAGGGACUCGGCGAGUUCAUAGCCUGACUCGCCGAGUAGGGACGGGAUUUCGAGCACGUGUUAGCUGGCGACUCGGCGAGUCCAUAUUCUGGACUCGGCGAGUCUGUCUAUCUGGGAGAAACCCUAAAUCCCCGGGUUGCCCACUAUUUAAGCCACCUUAUAGCCUCCAUUCUCGCCUCCUUCACCCUU